Long non-coding RNA from Ceratitis capitata (Mediterranean fruit fly), 331 nucleotides. RefSeq lists it as uncharacterized. The record is from RefSeq and is a predicted model, not a curated record. The transcript has 2 exons. NCBI's taxonomy places the organism in Eukaryota, Metazoa, Arthropoda, Insecta, Diptera, Tephritidae.
UUUUGAAUGGAAAUUCUCUGGUCGGUGGUCUUUGGCGCUGCUCAAAACUAGUCAACAACGAACAGCACUCGUGGAUAGUUGUUUGCUUGCGGUAUUAAAUAAAUUUGAAUAUUUUGUUUUCGAAGUAAUAACCCCAACGAAAACUCGAUUUGAGAAUUUGAAUUUGUUUGUUUGCUUUUUGGGUAAUACGGUUAGGAAAUACGACAAUAACGCGAGUGCGAAACGGUGAAAAGUGAAAAGCAGAUUUUUUUUGUAUUUAAAUGGAAAACAGUGAAAGUGAUUCCAGCGGAAUAGUAUUGUUUUUCAAAUUAAAUAAAAGGAAAUAAAAAAA